UGGCGGAGCCAUCCUUGGGAUACCACCCUUGUAGUACUGGGACUCUAACCAUAGGCCAUGAAUCUGGUCUUGGGACACUGUCAGGUGGGCAGUUUGACUGGGGCGGUCGCCUCCCAAAAGGUAACGGCGGCGCUCAAAGGUUCUCUCAGUACGGUCGGAAAUCGUACGUAGAGUGUAAAGGCAAAAGAGAGCUUGAUUGCAAGACAUACAGGUCGAGCAAGGAUGAAAAUCGGACUUAGUGAUCCGGUGGUUCUGCGUGGAAGGGCCAUCGCUCAACGGAUAAAAGCUACCCUGGGGAUAACAGGCUUAUCUCCCGCAAGAGUCCACAUCGACGGGGAGGUUUGGCACCUGGAUGUCGGCUCAUCACAUCCUGGGGCUGUAGUAGGUCCCAAGGGUUGGGCUGUUCGCCCAUUAAAGUGGUACGCGAGCUGGGUUCAGAACGUCGUGAGACAGUUCGGUCCCUAUCCGUCGCAGGCGUAGGAAAUUUGAGAAG
This 493-nucleotide ribosomal RNA is filed under the name Clostridioides difficile. RNAcentral's name for it is "bacterial LSU rRNA". It matches the Rfam family "Bacterial large subunit ribosomal RNA", at positions 2178 to 2669 of the family's 2925-position model. The record is from RNAcentral. Lineage: Bacteria; Bacillati; Bacillota; Clostridia; Peptostreptococcales; Peptostreptococcaceae.